Erythranthe guttata (spotted monkey flower) is the source of this 477-nucleotide non-coding RNA. NCBI's taxonomy places the organism in Eukaryota, Viridiplantae, Streptophyta, Magnoliopsida, Lamiales, Phrymaceae. The record is from RefSeq and is a predicted model, not a curated record.
UCCACUCCGGUGCAAACCCUAGUCUUCUCUUUCUCGAUGUUUUCUCUCUCCUUAGGCGAACCGCCGCUUUGUUCCCCUCUUCUUCCGCCACUGUCAUCGCCGCCGUCAAAUCGUCGGAUGAGAUCCACUGUAUUGACGCCCUCACCGCCGUCAAAUCGUCGGACGAGAUUUUUGUCGAAGUUUGGCGAUUUUCAUCUCUCUCUCACGAAAUUGAUGAAUUUUCAGCCUCCCUGUGCCUGAAGAAGUGGAAUGGCUGAAUAAGUACCAUUACAGAUGCAGAGGAAUUUUGGCUCCGUUUCUCGAUACUUAUGAGAUGGAAUGGCUCAAGAAAGCUACUGAACAUGUUCUAAUCACACCAAGCCCCAGAUCUAUUUUCUUAUGUUUAUUUAUUUAUUUAUUUUACUAUUACUUUUUUUAAAUAUGGAUUUUCUUAUCUGAUUUGCUUCUUGAACCAAUGGGUUCUUUAAUUUGCUUUAA